RNAcentral lists this non-coding RNA (148 nucleotides) under Nomascus leucogenys (northern white-cheeked gibbon). Lineage: Eukaryota; Metazoa; Chordata; Mammalia; Primates; Hylobatidae. The record is from Rfam by way of RNAcentral.
GCCGGGCGUGGUGGCGCAUGCCUGUAAUCCUAGCUACUUGGGAGGCUGAGGCAGGAGAAUCACUGGAACCCAGGAGGCAGAGAUUGCAGUGAGCCGAGAUGGCUGCACUGCCCUCCAGCCUGGGUGACAGAGCGAGACCCUGUCUCAA